GGUUUCUCUGUGUAGCUUUGGCUGUCCUGGAACUCACUCUGUAGACCAGGCUGGCCCUGAACUCACAGAGAUCCGCCUGCCUCUGCCUCUCGAGUGCUGGGAUUAAAGGCAUGUGCCACCACUGCCUG
This 128-nucleotide microRNA precursor is filed under the name Microtus ochrogaster (prairie vole). RNAcentral describes it as "miRNA (ENSMOCG00000006587.1)". Lineage: Eukaryota; Metazoa; Chordata; Mammalia; Rodentia; Cricetidae. The record is from RNAcentral.